GGGCCCGUAGUAUAGCUUGGACAGAACGCGGGGCUUCGGACCCCGAGACGUCGGUUCAAAUCCGGCCGGGCUCG
This 74-nucleotide transfer RNA is filed under the name Candidatus Woesearchaeota archaeon. RNAcentral describes it as "tRNA-Arg". It matches the Rfam family "tRNA". From Rfam's summary of the family: Transfer RNA (tRNA) molecules are approximately 80 nucleotides in length. Their secondary structure includes four short double-helical elements and three loops (D, anti-codon, and T loops). Lineage: Archaea; Nanobdellati; Candidatus Woesearchaeota. The record is from RNAcentral.